Molecule: long non-coding RNA, 348 nt
Organism: Oncorhynchus gorbuscha (pink salmon)
Lineage: Eukaryota; Metazoa; Chordata; Actinopteri; Salmoniformes; Salmonidae
Exons: 3
Source: RefSeq, a predicted model, not a curated record
AUCAUCAUGGAGGAAGAACAGGUACCUGCUAUCGAGUGAAGAGGACAAUCGCACCACAAAAGCGCAGCUGCUACCUGCGGGAAUCUAUUGCGUCUUUGGCCGCCUACUCUCAUUCCCUUUUCUUGCCUGAAUACAUUGUGUCACUGGCCGUGAGUCAAUUCUAAAGAGUAGAAGAGGAACGAGGCAAAACCAUCAAAAUGAAACAUUUUUUUGAGGGUGGUGACACAGUUCUUUGUGUUCCUGCACUGUAAAUGUCUGUGGCGAGGCCUAAAGUUUGUGAUCAGGAAGGUCACGGGGUGGUGUGAACUGCAGCGGAUUUGCUACAACAUCAAGCCAGGGGCCCGCAGG